AUGUCCGCAGUGCAAAACGUCGCAUCUCUUAAGGCAAUUAGUGUCUGUCCGAAUUCUUGGGGAAGCUGAGGAAACCAGGGCUGUGACUGUAAUAUUCUGCUGUACCUAUGAUCUGUGCCCAUGAUGCUCUGCUGUAUCCAUGAUGCUGUGCCCAUGAUGCCAUGUCAUGCUCUCUGUACCUUGCCAUGCCUGUGACACUAUGCCCUCUCCCUGGGAUUCUGCAGUCUUCCUGGCUGCUCUAGAAGCCAGGGAGAUUCCACCCCAUGUAAAAUGCUCCUGGGGUGGCCUGCUGACCUGGAUUCUCCUCUCAACAUCUUGAGCCCAACCACCUCUGCUGUCAAACUACACAUGGCCCAGGUGACUUCUCUCACAAAUGGGAGAGGGAAUCAGAGCAUUUCAUAGUCAGAGCAGAGGCCCUGGGGAGAUGCCCAUCUGCAGCAGACUUGGGACAACUGAUCCAAUUCAAGUCCAUCAUUGUGCAGAGUGGGAUUGUGAGCCUCAGAGUGGAGAGAAGAUUCAUCCAACUGUGGGUUCGGUGCCAGCCAGAGUGGGACUCCACCCUGACUCCCAGUUCAGAGCUCAUUUUGGUGG
Molecule: long non-coding RNA, 591 nt
Filed under: Homo sapiens (human)
Lineage: Eukaryota; Metazoa; Chordata; Mammalia; Primates; Hominidae
Description: non-protein coding lnc-PPARGC1B-1:1
Source: RNAcentral